AUGGGCUCAUUGGCCAAGCACCUGGACAAGAGCGACCCCAAAGUGAAGCCCAUUGUUGCCAAGCUCAUCGCUGCCCUUUCCACCCCCUCCCAGCAGGUCCAGGAGUCUGUGGCCAGCUGCUUACCGCCUCUUGUGCCGGCCAUCAAAGAAGACGCUGGAGGGAUGAUCCAGCGGCUCAUGCAGCAGCUGCUGGAGUCAGACAAGUAUGCGGAACGCAAAGGGGCUGCAUAUGGGCUGGCAGGCCUAGUGAAGGGCCUGGGCAUCCUCUCUCUGAAACAGCAGGAAAUGAUGGCAGCGCUGACGGAUGCUAUCCAGGACAAGAAGAACUUCCGUCGGCGAGAGGGGGCCCUCUUUGCCUUCGAGAUGCUGUGCACCAUGCUGGGAAAGCUCUUCGAGCCCUACGUGGUUCAUGUGCUGCCCCAUCUACUACUGUGUUUUGGGGAUGGGAACCAGUAUGUGCGUGAGGCUGCAGAUGACUGUGCCAAGGCUGUGAUGAGCAACCUGAGUGCUCACGGGGUGAAGCUGGUGCUCCCCUCCUUGUUAGCUGCCCUGGAGGAAGAAUCCUGGCGGACCAAAGCCGGUAAGACCACUCCUUUCUGUCUGUCAUUCUUAGCUCCCUGCUCUGAAAACUGCCUUAGCAGAGAUCCAGGUAGCCACAGCUUUUGUCCUGUGUGUGUGGUCCCCAGCCCAGGGACAAGGCCGAGACUGCCUUUGGCAGCUUGGUUCUUCCAUAAUUUGUAUGUAUUCAUGUCCAGUACAGUUCUGACUCCCUAAGAGCCUCCACCCUAAGUCAGGAAAUCCUGACCUUGAAAGCUUUCUAUGGCUUUAAAACCUUCUUCAUCCAGUAAAACUUUUGAAAAAUAUUAUCUUAUCUAGAAUGCAAUAUAGAAAACAGAUACAAGCGGUGCUGCCCAGGCUUGGGGAGGGUGAAGGUUGGACCUUCCACUUGGCCUCCCUUUUGGCCCUCAUCC
Molecule: long non-coding RNA, 971 nt
Filed under: Chinchilla lanigera (long-tailed chinchilla)
Lineage: Eukaryota; Metazoa; Chordata; Mammalia; Rodentia; Chinchillidae
Description: lncRNA (ENSCLAG00000022548.1)
Source: RNAcentral